ACGCACGCUGGCGGCGUGCUUAACCCAUGCAAGUCGAACGGAAAGGCCCUGCUUUUGUGGGGUGCUCGAGUGGCGAACGGGUGGGUAACACGUGAGUAACCUGCCCUUGACUUUGGGAUAACUUCAGGAAACUGGGGCUAAUACCGGAUAGGAGCUCCUGCUGCAUGGUGGGGGUUGGAAAGUUUCGGCGGUUGGGGAUGGACUCGCGGCUUAUCAGCUUGUUGGUGGGGUAGUGGCUUACCAAGGCUUUGACGGGUAGCCGGCCUGAGAGGGUGACCGGCCACAUUGGGACUGAGAUACGGCCCAGACUCCUACGGGAGGCAGCAGUGGGGAAUAUUGCACAAUGGGCGGAAGCCUGAUGCAGCAACGCCGCGUGCGGGAUGACGGCCUUCGGGUUGUAAACCGCUUUCGCCUGUGACGAAGCGUGAGUGACGGUAAUGGGUAAAGAAGCACCGGCUAACUACGUG
This 467-nucleotide ribosomal RNA is filed under the name uncultured bacterium. RNAcentral describes it as "partial 16S ribosomal RNA". It matches the Rfam family "Bacterial small subunit ribosomal RNA", at positions 29 to 507 of the family's 1533-position model. The record is from RNAcentral.